CAUAUUGAAGUUGUUGAUGACAUGACAACAGAUGCGUUUAUUAAUGCUUUAAGAGCAUUCAUUGCCAUAAGAGGAAAUGUUCGUCAACUGCGAUGUGACCAAGGUACCAAUUUUAUUGGUGCAAGGAGAGAGUUUGCAGAACUCAUGAAAGGAAUGGAUCAAGAAAAGGUGAAGGCUCUGGGAUGUGAGUUUCUUAUGAACCCUCCAACAGCAAGUCAUAUGGGCGGCAUCUGGGAGAGGCAGAUAAGAACUAUAAGAAGUGUCCUUACAGCUGUUCUCGACCAGUCUACACAAAGGCUCGAUAGUACAUCAUUAAGAACCUUCUUAUAUGAGGUCAUGGCCAUCAUCAACAGCAGACCACUCAACGCUGAACAUCUAAAUGACCCAUCUGGACCUGAACCUUUGACUCCUAACCAUAUCCUUACAAUGAAGUCUACAAUAAUUCUGCCCCCACCUGGACAAUUCAUCAGAGAAGAUCUUUAUCUUAAGAAGAGGUGGCGUAGAGUGCAGUAUUUAGCCAAUGAGUUUUGGACCCGGUGGAAAGGGGAAUAUCUGUUGAACCUACAAUCAAGACAAAAGUGGCACAAGAGUAGAAGGAACUCUAAGGUCAAUGACAUUGUCCUUCUUCAAGAUGACCUGGCACCACGCUGUGAAUGGAAACUGGCCAGAAUCACUGAAGCCCAUCCAGGGUCAGAUGGUAGGGUGAGAAAAUUAAAAUUGUUGGUUAGUGACACCACAUUUGACCAAAAGGGGAAGCCCAUUACUAAAGCGGUGUUUCUUGAGAGACCUGUACAAAAGGUUGUCACUCUGCUUGAGGCAGAGUAAGGUGUGUAUUUAUUUUGUUUCCUGACAUUUCAUGGUAAAUGUAUUUUGAAAUUCAUGUUUGCUUAUAAAAGAAGGAAAGAUGUUUAAGAAAUCCCACAUUAAGAUUUGUGUGAUUUGGUGGGAGUGUAACUGUUGUUGUUUAUUAAGUUAUGUUUAAGUUUAUAUUUUAUAAGUUAAAGUUUAAUAAGUUAAAUUCAUGUAAUAUAAUUUAUAUAUUUCAGUUAAAACCAGGCAUUAUAAGUUAAAUUUAUAAUUUAGUGAUUUAAGUUAUUUGUGUUUCACUUCCUGUUAUGACACAUUUAUUUUGA
This 1133-nucleotide long non-coding RNA is filed under the name Myripristis murdjan (pinecone soldierfish). RNAcentral describes it as "lncRNA (ENSMMDG00005009200.1)". The record is from RNAcentral. Lineage: Eukaryota; Metazoa; Chordata; Actinopteri; Holocentriformes; Holocentridae.